Molecule: ribosomal RNA, 1176 nt
Filed under: uncultured archaeon
Lineage: Archaea
Description: partial 16S ribosomal RNA
Source: RNAcentral
GGCCGCGUGUAUCCCAGAGCAUUCGGGCCAUACUGACCUACCGUGGCCCGCUCCUUCCCCUGGUUUAUCACCAGCGGUCCUCUACGAGUGCAGAAUCCUCGAAAGGUUCCUUGGCAACAUAGAGUGCGGGUCUCGCUCGUUACCGGACUUAACCGGACACCUCACGGCACGAGCUGACGGCGGCCAUGCAGCUCCUCUCAGCGCAUCAGGUAAGCUCUUCAAGCUGACCGUCAUCUUGCUGUCGGCUCUGGUAGGGUACUCUGCGUUUGAUCUAAUUAAACCGCAGUCUCCACCGGUUGUGGUGCUCCCCCGUCAAUUCCUUUAAGUUUCAGCCUUGCGACCGUACUACCCAGGUGGUCUGUUUAUCGUUUUCACUUCGGCACCGGAAAACCUCGAAGGUUCUCCGACAUCAAACAGACAAUGUUUACAGCCAGGACUACGCGGGUAUCUAAUCCGCUUUGCUCCCCUAGCUUUCGUUCCUCACCGUCGAGUCCGUACUCGUCGAGCGCUUUCGCCACAGGUGCUCCUCCAAGGAUUUUAGGAUUUCACCCCUACCCUUGGAAUAGCCUCGACGCCGUCCGGUUCCUAGACCUGCAGUAUCCGCUGCACGCCCACAUGUUAAGCAUGUGGAUUUCACAGCAGACUUGCCGGUCCGGCUACGAACACUUUAAACCCAAUAAUAAUGACUACCACUUGGGGCUCUGCUAUUACCGCGGCGGCUGGCAGCAGUAUUGCCCACCCCUUGUUCCGGCACCUCCUUACAGUGCAGAAAAGUAGCCUUCCUUGUGGGAAGACUACACUCGGAGUCCCCUUAUCGCACGUUAGUGCAUUGUAAAGGUUUCGUGCCUGCUGCACCCCGUAGGGUCCGUGUUCUUGUCUCAGAACACGACUGGCAGCUCCCGCUCUCACGGCUGCUACUGAUCACUGGCUUGGUAAGCCGUUACCUCACCAACGACCUAAUCAGCUGCGGCCCCAUCCUAUGGCGUCGGAACAUUUCACAGAGGAAUCUAUUCCAGAUAUCCUCUGCUAUUGAGUAUUAGCCUCAGUUUCCCGAGGUUAUCCUCAUCCAUAGGGCAGGUUGGCCACAUGUUACUCAGCUAUCUGCCCCGAACGAAUCGGUGGACUAGCAUGGCUAAAUCGGACUCCGAUAGCGGUAGCCUCCGGCGGGAUCAACCG